RNAcentral lists this ribosomal RNA (253 nucleotides) under uncultured bacterium. RNAcentral describes it as "partial 16S ribosomal RNA". It matches the Rfam family "Bacterial small subunit ribosomal RNA", at positions 524 to 776 of the family's 1533-position model. The record is from RNAcentral.
UACGGAGGAUCCGAGCGUUAUCCGGAUUUAUUGGGCUUAAAGGGUGCGUAGGCGGCCUAUUAAGUCAGGGGUGAAAUACGGUGGCUCAACCAUCGCAGUGCCUUUGAUACUGAUGGGCUUGAAUCCAUUUGAAGUGGGCGGAAUAAGACAAGUAGCGGUGAAAUGCAUAGAUAUGUCUUAGAACUCCGAUUGCGAAGGCAGCUCACUAAGCUGGUAUUGACGCUGAUGCACGAAAGCGUGGGGAUCGAACAGG